This 462-nucleotide ribosomal RNA is filed under the name uncultured bacterium. RNAcentral describes it as "partial 16S ribosomal RNA". It matches the Rfam family "Bacterial small subunit ribosomal RNA", at positions 28 to 507 of the family's 1533-position model. The record is from RNAcentral.
GACGAACGCUGGCGGCGUGCUUAACACAUGCAAGUCGAACGGAAAGGCCCUUCUUGGUACUCGAGUUGCAAACGGGAGCGUAACACUAGCGUGUUCUUCCCUUCCCUUUGGGUUAGGCCUGAGUACCUGGGUCUAAUGCCAAUACUGGAUAUCGGCUCCUUCUUCGUUGUUGGGGAUCGUUUGCGGUGUGGGAUGGGCUCGCGGCCUAUCAGCUUGUUGGUGGGGUUAUGGCCUACCAAGGCGACGACGGGUAGCCGGCCUGAGAGGGUGACCGGCCACACUGGGACUGAGAUACGGCCCAGACUCCUACGGGAGGCAGCAGUGGGGAAUAUUGCACAAUGGGCGGAAGCCUGAUGCAGCGACGCCGCGUGAGGGAUGACGGCCUUCGGGUUGUAAACCGCUUUCAGCAGAGACGAAGCGUGAGUGACGGUAAGGGGAGAAGAAGAACCGGCCAACUACGUG